GGGUAGGCAGCAGUAGGGAAUCUUCCGCAAUGGGCGAAAGCCUGACGGAGCAACGCCGCGUGAGUGAUGAAGGUCUUCGGAUCGUAAAACUCUGUUAUUAGGGAAGAACAAAUGUGUAAGUAACUAUGCACGUCUUGACGGUACCUAAUCAGAAAGCCACGGCUAACUACGUGCCAGCAGCCGCGGUAAUACGUAGGUGGCAAGCGUUAUCCGGAAUUAUUGGGCGUAAAGCGCGCGUAGGCGGUUUUUUAAGUCUGAUGUGAAAGCCCACGGCUCAACCGUGGAGGGUCAUUGGAAACUGGAAAACUUGAGUGCAGAAGAGGAAAGUGGAAUUCCAUGUGUAGCGGUGAAAUGCGCAGAGAUAUGGAGGAACACCAGUGGCGAAGGCGACUUUCUGGUUCUUGUAA
This 407-nucleotide ribosomal RNA is filed under the name Staphylococcus sp. A25-1. RNAcentral describes it as "bacterial SSU rRNA". It matches the Rfam family "Bacterial small subunit ribosomal RNA", at positions 342 to 739 of the family's 1533-position model. The record is from RNAcentral. Lineage: Bacteria; Bacillati; Bacillota; Bacilli; Caryophanales; Staphylococcaceae.